Molecule: long non-coding RNA, 208 nt
Filed under: Gossypium barbadense (sea-island cotton)
Lineage: Eukaryota; Viridiplantae; Streptophyta; Magnoliopsida; Malvales; Malvaceae
Description: long non-coding RNA (GBAR_LNC011519)
Source: RNAcentral
AAAUUUCAUGUUUGAAUUUUGUUAAUUGUAAGUGAAUUUUAUUAAAUAGGACUUAUGUGAGAAAAUUUAGAAAUGUGCUAGACAAAUGUAAAGUGGCCUAUUAAUGCAUGUUAGGAAAAUGAUGGGUUUGCAUGUCAAAUUACCCAAAAUUAGAGCUAGUGGCCGGCCAUGCUAUGGGGUGAAACAUGUUGGAAACAUGUUGUGUUAG